AAAUGCUUUUCUGCUAUGGAGACUUGCAGAGUAUUUGCCCAGAGUGGAUGUGAAGAAAAUGCCCUUUGUGCACAGAAUUAACCCUACUUCUCUUGUCUUUUGCAAAAUGUUGGCAUCAAAUAAACAGCAACAGGAUCCUCUGAAUUGUGUUUGUCACCCGGAGUGUUUGAUCAAAAACUGCACUUCUGAAGAGUUUCAAUGAUGGAGAGAGUGAUAAGGACUACAGAGAUGGCAUUUUGAUCUUGUGCAAAAAACUAAGAAGGAGAAGCAUGAGAAGAACUCCUGAAUGGUGAGAAAGGGGUAGGAAUGGAAGAAACCAAAAAUGAGAAAUGAUUGUGAAAUACUUUUAUAGCAUUCACUAGUCCUAUUGAAGACAAUCAAAACUGCCUAAAAUCUACUUUUCAAUCAAGAUGCCAACU
Molecule: long non-coding RNA, 419 nt
Organism: Lepidothrix coronata (blue-crowned manakin)
Lineage: Eukaryota; Metazoa; Chordata; Aves; Passeriformes; Pipridae
Exons: 3
Source: RefSeq, a predicted model, not a curated record